UUGGUGGCGACCGGCGCACGGGUGAGUAACGCGUAUGCAACCCACUUAUCAGAGGGGAAUAACCCGGCGAAAGUCGGACUAAUACUGCAUAAAACAGGGACACCGCAUGGUGAUAUUUGUUAAAGAAAUUCGCUGAUAGAUGGGCAUGCGUUCCAUUAGGUAGUUGGUGAGGUAACGGCUCACCAAGCCGACGAUGGAUAGGGGAACUGAGAGGUUGGUCCCCCACACUGGUACUGAGACACGGACCAGACUCCUACGGGAGGCAGCAGUGGGGAAUAUUGGUCAAUGGGCGAGAGCCUGAACCAGCCAAGUCGCGUGAAGGAAGAAGGAUCUAUGGUUCGUAAACUUCUUUUGCAGGGGAAUAAAGUGCAGGACGUGUCCUGUUUUGUAUGUACCCUGAGAAUAAGGAUCGGCUAACUCCGUGCCAGCAGCCGCGGUAAUACGGAGGAUCCGAGCGUUAUCCGGAUUUAUUGGGUUUAAAGGGUGCGUAGGUGGUUUGAUAAGUCAGCGGUGAAAGUUUGCAGCUUAACUGUAAAAAUGCCGUUGAAACUGUCGGACUUGAGUGUAAAUGAGGUAGGCGGAAUGCGUGGUGUAGCGGUGAAAUGCUUAGAUAUCACGAAGAACUCCGAUUG
This 632-nucleotide ribosomal RNA is filed under the name uncultured Porphyromonadaceae bacterium. RNAcentral describes it as "bacterial SSU rRNA". It matches the Rfam family "Bacterial small subunit ribosomal RNA", at positions 85 to 715 of the family's 1533-position model. The record is from RNAcentral. Lineage: Bacteria; Pseudomonadati; Bacteroidota; Bacteroidia; Bacteroidales; Porphyromonadaceae.